GUAUUGGUUGCUCAGUGGUAGAAUUCUUUCCUUUCACGUAGGAGACCAGGUUUGAUUCCUGGCCAAUAUA
Molecule: transfer RNA, 70 nt
Filed under: Loxodonta africana (African savanna elephant)
Lineage: Eukaryota; Metazoa; Chordata; Mammalia; Proboscidea; Elephantidae
Rfam family: tRNA
About the family: Transfer RNA (tRNA) molecules are approximately 80 nucleotides in length.
Source: Rfam by way of RNAcentral